UACAGAGGUGGCAAGCGUUGUUCGGAAUUACUGGGCGUAAAGGGCGCGUAGGCGGCCCUCUCAGUCAGACGUGAAAUCCCCAGGCUUAACUUGGGAACUGCGUCUGAUACUGGAGGGCUUGAGUGCGGGAGAGGGAUGUGGAAUUCCAGGUGUAGCGGUGAAAUGCGUAGAUAUCUGGAGGAACACCGGUGGCGAAGGCGGCGUUCUGGACUGUUUCUGACACUGAGGAACGAAAGCCAGGGGAGCAAACGGG
This 253-nucleotide ribosomal RNA is filed under the name uncultured bacterium. RNAcentral describes it as "partial 16S ribosomal RNA". It matches the Rfam family "Bacterial small subunit ribosomal RNA", at positions 524 to 776 of the family's 1533-position model. The record is from RNAcentral.